RNAcentral lists this ribosomal RNA (509 nucleotides) under uncultured bacterium. Its description in RNAcentral is "bacterial SSU rRNA". It matches the Rfam family "Bacterial small subunit ribosomal RNA", at positions 8 to 510 of the family's 1533-position model. The record is from RNAcentral.
AGAGUUUGAUCCUGGCUCAGAUUGAACGCUGGCGGAAUGCUUUACACAUGCAAGUCGAACGGCAGCACGGGAGCUUGCUCCUGGUGGCGAGUGGCGAACGGGUGAGUAACAUAUCGGAACGUAUCCAAUAAUGGGGGAUAACUAAUCGAAAGGUUGGCUAAUACCGCAUACGCCCCACGGGGGAAAGCAGGGGAUCGUAAGACCUUGCGUUAAUGGAGCGGCCGAUAUCUGAUUAGCUAGUUGGUGGGGUAAAGGCCCACCAAGGCGACGAUCAGUAGCUGGUCUGAGAGGACGACCAGCCACACUGGAACUGAUACACGGUCCAGACUCCUACGGGAGGCAGCAGUGGGGAAUUUUGGACAAUGGGCGCAAGCCUGAUCCAGCCAUUCCGCGUGAGUGAAGAAGGCCUUCGGGUUGUAAAGCUCUUUCGCAAGGGAAGAAAACUUAUCUUCGAAUAAUAGGUGAGGCUGACGGUACCUUGAUAAGAAGCACCGGCUAACUACGUGCCA